This 346-nucleotide long non-coding RNA is filed under the name Pan troglodytes (chimpanzee). RNAcentral describes it as "lincRNA". The record is from RNAcentral. Lineage: Eukaryota; Metazoa; Chordata; Mammalia; Primates; Hominidae.
CACCACCACCCAGACCUGCUCAGCACCUGAAACAUUCACAGCCAUGGAGAGAGAACUGUUCACUGCUACCAUCCACACUUCCGGGCCCCUUCAGCAGCAGGGUGACAAGGAAGAGGGAAAUCGACUUGGAAAAGAGGGGACCUCUGACCCAAGAGUUUGGUCAAUGCAUAUGUUGGCAGCCAACUGCACAUAGCACCAAAUACGAACUUCAAAUAGAAGAAAGCCGCAUUUGGAAGAAAGCUCAUGCACAGACUGUAAAUAUUUCAGAGCAGAUUGUGUCUCUGUAGAUUAAGUAAGUUGUGAAAGUCUGAACCUCUGCCAAAAUGUUAAGACCUUGACCUUUACA